AUUAACCCUAAUCUACUCCUCUUUCAAUCUCUCAAAAUAUAUAUAUAUAUAUAUAUGAACAUUAAUCUCAUAUUACUCCCUUAGAUUUAAGUUUCUUCUUAAUUUGGAGCGUUAGAUUAGGUUGAUGGAGGGACCGGAUGAAAUCCCAUUUUUUGAUCCCGUAUUGCAUUAUAAGAUUGAAAACCACCCAAAACGGAAGGAACGAGAUUUAUGCGGGAUUUUGAUACAACCUUUCAUCUACUCACUCUCUCUCACUCCAAACGUCUAUCUCUCAAUUCACGUCUCUGCAAAUCGUCUCCCCAAAUUCCACCCACUCUCCAAUCCCUAGCCGCCACUAAGCAACAGGGUAUCUCCAGAAAUUGAUCGUUUUUCUUCGGAUUCACGGUCAAAAUCGAACUCCCGUAGCGGAAUGUACCGGUUGAAAAAAAAUUAGAUGGACCAGCAUUUUGGCUGAGGUGGAUCAAAUUGCUGCUUCUAAUAACUGGGCUGUUUUUGCAACAAAAUUUCAUCGAAAGCUCUCUUUCAAGGAUUUAUCAAUGGGCCUUUUUAUUUCUUGAGCAGAAAUUUAAGCUUUUGCUUCUGCUCGAUGGUAGCAACGAGACACAGACGAACCUCUAAAAUCCUUUUUCUAUUUCAUUGAAGAAUAAGAUCUAAAGGUUAGUGUGAUUUUCCAGCAGCGAAGUAGCUGAGAUUCAGGAACAAUGAAGUAAAAAAAGCCAGAUAAAUACUGUGAAAUGAGAUGGAUGAAGACGAAUCUGUACAUUAUUAAACUAGUAGUAUACAUUAUGUAUCAAAUAUUAUGCAUUAUUUGAUUGCUGUGUACAUAGGUGAAUGGGUGAAAGUCAUAUUUCUUUGUGCAUUA
Long non-coding RNA from Salvia splendens (bonfire salvia), 862 nucleotides. RefSeq lists it as uncharacterized. The record is from RefSeq and is a predicted model, not a curated record. NCBI's taxonomy places the organism in Eukaryota, Viridiplantae, Streptophyta, Magnoliopsida, Lamiales, Lamiaceae. The transcript is spliced from 2 exons.